GGACCCGCACAAGCGGUGGAGCGUGUUCUUUAAUUCGAGGCUAAACGAAGAACCUUACCAGGGUUUGACAUCCCUAUAGCCGAUCUCCGAAAGGAGAUCUUCAAUUCGGUUGGAUAGGUGACAGGUGAUGCAUGGCCGUCGUCAGCUCGUGUCGUGAGAUGUUUGGUUAAGUCCAUCAACGAGCGCAACCCUUACUGUUAGUUGUAUUUUUCUAGCAGGACUGCCCUUGUAAGAGGGAGGAAGGAGGGGAUGAUGUCAGGUCAGUAUUUCCCUUACACCCUGGGCUAGAAACGCGCUACAAUGGCCGGUACAACGGGCAGCUAAAGCGUAAGCUGGAGCUAAUCCCAUCAAAACCGGUCCCAGUUCGGAUUGAGGGCUGAAACUCGCCCUCAUGAAGCCGGAAUCGCUAGUAAUCGCAGGUCAGCACACUG
This 431-nucleotide ribosomal RNA is filed under the name uncultured bacterium. RNAcentral's name for it is "bacterial SSU rRNA". It matches the Rfam family "Bacterial small subunit ribosomal RNA", at positions 917 to 1359 of the family's 1533-position model. The record is from RNAcentral.